RNAcentral lists this ribosomal RNA (497 nucleotides) under uncultured bacterium. Its description in RNAcentral is "partial 16S ribosomal RNA". It matches the Rfam family "Bacterial small subunit ribosomal RNA", at positions 28 to 507 of the family's 1533-position model. The record is from RNAcentral.
GAUGAACGCUGGCGGCGUGCCUAAUACAUGCAAGUCGAGCGAACGGACGAGAAGCUUGCUUCUCUGAUGUUAGCGGCGGACGGGUGAGUAACACGUGGAUAACCUACCUAUAAGACUGGGAUAACUUCGGGAAACCGGAGCUAAUACCGGAUAAUAUUUUGAACCGCAUGGUUCAAAAGUGAAAGACGGUCUUGCUGUCACUUAUAGAUGGAUCCGCGCUGCAUUAGCUAGUUGGUAAGGUAACGGCUUACCAAGGCAACGAUGCAUAGCCGACCUGAGAGGGUGAUAGGCCACACUGGAACUGAGACACGGUCAAGACGCCUACGGGAGGCAGCAGUAGGGAAUCUUCCGCAAUGGGCGAAAGCAUGACGGAGCAACGCCGCGUGAGUGAUGAAGGUCUUCGGAUCGUAAAAAUCUGUUAUUAGGGAAGAACAGAUGUGUAAGUAACUGUGCACAGCUUGACGGUACCUAAUCAGAAAGCCACGGCUAACUACGUG